CAGGCGUGAGCCACCUUGCCCGGCCAAGAUGAGCAGGCAAGAAGAACCUGUUGGAUGAUUACAACAUUGCUGGAUUGAUAGCAGCCUCGUCUGCCAGGCUCAAACUCCAGAUCCAAAGUCCACAAAUAUAUCAUAAAUCUGAAGAGGACCUGGGAGAAGCUUCUGCUGGCAGCUCAUGCCAUUGUUGCCAUUGAAAACCCUGCUGAUGUGUCAUAUCCUGCAGGAAUACUGGCUAGUGGGCUGUGCUGAAGUUUGCUGCUGCCACUGGAGCCACAUGUAUUGCUGGUCACUUCACUUGGGGAACCUAUGCUAACCAGAUCCAAUCAUCUGCCACCCACAUCUUCUGGUGGUUACUGAUUCGAGGGCUAACUAUCAGCCUCUCUCAGGGGCUUCUUAUGGUAACCUACCUACCAAUGCUGUAUGUAACAGAUUCUCCUCUGAGCUAUGUGGAUAUUGUCAUCCCAUGCAACAACAAGGAAGCUCAAUCACUGAGUCUAAUGUAGUGGAUGCUGGCCCAGGAAGCUCUGUGCGUGUGUUGCCCCAUCUCCCAUGAUCAUGCCUGAUCUCUACUUCUGUAGAGAUCUUGAAGAGAUUGAAAAGGAAGAGUAGGCUGCAGCUGAAAAAGGAGGAAUUUCAAAGUGAAUGGACUGCUCUAGUGCAAGUUUACUGCUACCCAAUCUGAGGUUGCAGACUGGUUUAAAGGCAUGCAGGUGCCCUCUGUGCCUAUUCAGCAGUUCCCUACUGAAGAUUGGAGCACUCAGCCUACCAUGAAUGACUGGUCUGCAACUCCCACUGCUCAGACCACUGAAUGGGUAAGAAUAACCACUGAGUGGCCUUAAGCUGUUCUUCCACAAGCUCGUAAACAAGAUGGAAAUAACGCUGAUGGAAAUAAACAACAGUUUCCAAGAAAAAACGAACAGCUGAAGUGAGUGGCAAUGUUUAAAUAACAUCUGGUAGACUUUAACAUGAAUGUUAUUAAGCAGGAAAUUAUGAUCUUUUAAGUUGGAACAUGUAAUGUUAAUCCUUUUGCACCAAAAUAUCUCUUUAAGUCUAAAUUAUCCACUUUUUUUUUUAAUUCUUCAUAGAGAUAGAGGUCGCUUUGUUGCCCAGGCUGUUCUUGGCUUCCUAACUUCAAGCAAUCCUCCUGCCUCAGCCUCCCAGAGUGCUGGGAUUACAGGCAUGUGCCACCGUGCCUGGUGUACCCAGUUUCUGUUAUCAACAGGAUGCAGUGGUGUAUGGUUGCUAAAGAAGGGUCCCAAGAUCAGGACCUACAUUAAGGUGGAUUUUGAAAUAUUUAACAUUCUGAUUUUGUUUUAUUUUUAAUUUAUCUUUAGGGGAAGGAUGGGAGGGGGGUGAGGGUUGAAGAAGUAAACAUUGUACCUAUUGGAUACAAUGUUUAAUAUUUGUGUAAUGGGCACACUGGAAGCCCAAACCUCACUAUUACACAAUACAUUCAUGUAACAAGCCUGCACAUGCACCUCCUGAAUCUAUUUUUAAAAAUUUAAUUCUCAAGCACAGACUCCCUUUUUUUGGUAAGACGGCAGGGUACGACUUAACUACUCGCAUCACGCACCUUUUGGAUCAGCAUCUAGUCUUUCCGCUCCUUGAGUUUCUCUCUGUAAAGGAGAUAUAUAAUGAAAAGGAAUUAUUGCAAGGUAAAUUGGACGUUCUUAGUGAUACCACAUGGUAGACUUUGCUAUGGAUGUAUACAAAAACCUUUAUUCUGAUGAUAUUCCUCAUGCUUUGAGAGAGAAUAGAACCACAGUUGUUGCACAACUGAAACAGCUUCAGGCAGAAACAGAACUAAUUGUGAAAAUGUUUGAAGAUCCAGAAACGACAAGGCAAAUGCAGUCAAACAGGGAUGCUAGGAUGCUCUUUGACUACCUGGCGGACAAGCAUGGUUUUAGGCAGGAGUAUUUAGAUACACUCUACACAUAUGCAAAAUUCCAAUAUGAAUGUGGGAAUUACUCAGGAGCAGCAGAAUAUCUUUAUUUUUUCAGAGUGUUGGUUCCAGCAACAGAUAGAAAUGCUGUAAGUUCAUGCUGGGGAAAGCUGGCCUCUGAAAUCUUACAGCAGAAUUGGGAUGCAGACAUGGAAGACCUUACAUGGUUAAAAGAGACCAUAGAUAAUAAUUCUGUGAGUUCUCCACUCCAGUCUCUUCAGCAGAGAGCAUGGCUUGUUCACUGGUCUCUGUUUUCUUUAAUCAUCCCAAAGGUUGUAAUAAUAUUAUUGAUAUCUUCCUUUACCAGCCACAGUAUCUUAAUGCAAUUCAGACAAUGUGUCCACACAUUCUUCACUAUUUGACUACAGCAGUCAUAACAAACAAGGAUGUUCGAAAACGUUGGCAAGUGCUAAAAGAUCCAGGUAAAGUUACUCAACAGGAGUCUUACACAUAUAAAGACCCAAUUACAGAAUUUGUUGAAUGCUUAUAUGUUAACUUUGACUUUGAUGGGGCUAAGAAAAAGCUGAGAGAAUGUGAAUCGGUGCUUGUGAAUGACUUCUUCUUGGUGGCUUGUCUUAAGGAUUUCAUUGACAAUGCCCAUCUCUUCAUAUUUGAGACUUUCUGUCACAUCCACCAGUAAAUCGGCAUUAACAGGUUGGCAGACAAAUUGAACAUGACUCCAGAUGAAACUGAAAGGUGGAUUGUAAAUUUGAUUAGAAAUGCAAGACUGGAUGCCAAGAUUGAUUCUAAAUUAGGUCAUGUGGUUAUGGUAACAGUGCACUCUCACCCUAUCAGCAAGUGAUUGAAAAGACCAAAAGCCUUUCUUUUAGAAGCUAGGUGUUGGCCAUGACUAUUGAGAAGAAACUUAAUGAGAAUAGCAGGUCAGAGGCUCCUAACUGGGCAACUCAAGAUUCUGGCUUCUACUGAAGAAACAUAAGGAAAAGAUUUUUUAAAAACUCUAAAAGAAAGAUGAAAUAAUAAAACUAUUCUAUAAAGGGUGACUUACAUUUUGGAAACAACAUAUUGAGUAUAAAUUGUGAAGAAUUGGAAUAAAAUUGACUAUGAUUCAAAAAAAUUUAAUUCACAAAAUUUUAAUCCUUUUGAGCUAAUUGUAGAUUCACAUACAGUUGUAAGAAGUUACAAAGAGGCUAGGUGCAGUAGCUGACGCCUGUGAUCCCAGCACUUUGGGAGGCCGAGGCAGGCAGAUCUCUUGAGGCCAGGAGUUUGAGACUAGCC
Long non-coding RNA from Nomascus leucogenys (northern white-cheeked gibbon), 3178 nucleotides. RefSeq lists it as uncharacterized. The record is from RefSeq and is a predicted model, not a curated record. Lineage: Eukaryota; Metazoa; Chordata; Mammalia; Primates; Hylobatidae.